CAAAGAUUAAGCCAUGCAUGUCUAAGUAUAAGCACUUUAUACUGUGAAACUGCGAAUGGCUCAUUAAAUCAGUUAUCGUUUAUUUGAUAGUACCUUACUACAUGGAUACCUGUGGUAAUUCUAGAGCUAAUACAUGCUAAAAACCCCGACUUCAGGAAGGGGUGUAUUUAUUAGAUAAAAAACCAACGCCCUUCGGGGCUCCUUGGUGAAUCAUAAUAACUUAACGAAUCGCAUGGCCUUGCGCCGGCGAUGGUUCAUUCAAAUUUCUGCCCUAUCAACUUUCGAUGGUAGGAUAGUGGCCUACCAUGGUGG
This 312-nucleotide ribosomal RNA is filed under the name uncultured fungus. Its description in RNAcentral is "SSU rRNA". It matches the Rfam family "Eukaryotic small subunit ribosomal RNA", at positions 38 to 352 of the family's 1831-position model. Lineage: Eukaryota; Fungi. The record is from RNAcentral.